GUGGGGAAUAUUGGACAAUGGGCGAAAGCCUGAUCCAGCCAUGCCGCGUGCAGGAUGAAGGCCUUCGGGUUGUAAACUGCUUUUGUACGGAACGAAAAGACUCCUUCUAAUAAAGGGGGUCCAUGACGGUACCGUAAGAAUAAGCACCGGCUAACUACGUGCCAGCAGCCGCGGUAAUACGUAGGGUGCAAGCGUUAAUCGGAAUUACUGGGCGUAAAGCGUGCGCAGGCGGUUAUAUAAGACAGAUGUGAAAUCCCCGGGCUCAACCUGGGAACUGCAUUUGUGACUGUAUAGCUAGAGUACGGUAGAGGGGGAUGGAAUUCCGCGUGUAGCAGUGAAAUGCGUAGAUAUGCGGAGGAACACCGAUGGCGAAGGCAAUCCCCUGGACCUGUACUGACGCUCAUGCACGAAAGCGUGGGGAGCAAACAGGAUUAGAAACCCUUGUAGUCC
Molecule: ribosomal RNA, 450 nt
Filed under: uncultured bacterium
Lineage: Bacteria
Description: bacterial SSU rRNA
Rfam family: Bacterial small subunit ribosomal RNA
Source: RNAcentral